RNAcentral lists this ribosomal RNA (253 nucleotides) under uncultured bacterium. RNAcentral's name for it is "partial 16S ribosomal RNA". It matches the Rfam family "Bacterial small subunit ribosomal RNA", at positions 524 to 776 of the family's 1533-position model. The record is from RNAcentral.
GACGAGGGGUCCUAGCGUUGUUCGGAAUCAUUGGGCGUAAAGCGUGUGUAGGUGGCUAUUCAAGUCAGUUGUGAAAUCCCCGGGCUCAACCCGGGAAGUGCUUCUGAUACUGUUUAGCUUGAGUACUAGAGAGGAUAGUAGAAUUCCUGGUGUAGUGGUGAAAUACGUAGAUAUCAGGAGGAACACCGGUGGCGAAGGCGGCUAUCUGGACAGAGUCUGACGCUGAGGCGCGAAAGCUAGGGGAGCAAACAGG